This 491-nucleotide ribosomal RNA is filed under the name uncultured bacterium. RNAcentral's name for it is "partial 16S ribosomal RNA". It matches the Rfam family "Bacterial small subunit ribosomal RNA", at positions 29 to 507 of the family's 1533-position model. The record is from RNAcentral.
GUGCACGCUGGCGGUAGGCCUAACCCCUGCCAGUCGAACGGCAGCACAGUAAGAGCUUGCUCUUACGGGUGGCGAGUGGCGGACGGGUGAGGAAUACAUCGGAAUCUACUUUUUCGUGGGGGAUAACGUAGGGAAACUUACGCUAAUACCGCAUACGACCUACGGGUGAAAGCAGGGGAUCUUCGGACCUUGCGCGAUUGAAUGAGCCGAUGUCGGAUUAGCUAGUUGGCGGGGUAAAGGCCCACCAAGGCGACGAUCCGUAGCUGGUCUGAGAGGAUGAUCAGCCACACUGGAACUGAGACACGGUCCAGACUCCUACGGGAGGCAGCAGUGGGGAAUAUUGGACAAUGGGCGCAAGCCUGAUCCAGCCAUACCGCGUGGGUGAAGAAGGCCUUCGGGUUGUAAAGCCCUUUUGUUGGGAAAGAAAAGCAGCAGGUUAAUACCCCGCUGUUCCGACGGUACCCAAAGAAUAAGCACCGGCUAACUUCGUG